AUAAUCUGGAAAGAGAGAGGGUGAGAAUCCUCGACUCGGGUUCGGCACCAUUGCAGGAGCAAUGGUGAACAUCACGGAUGUGAUGGCCCCGCAGGGGUGGAGGGCAGGAGCCCGACAUAAUCCCUCUCUCUCCGCCA
RNAcentral lists this small RNA (137 nucleotides) under Mariprofundus erugo. RNAcentral's name for it is "Mariprofundus sp. P3 RtT sRNA". It matches the Rfam family "RtT RNA". From Rfam's summary of the family: This family represents a bacterial cis-regulatory element known as RtT RNA. The exact function of RtT is unknown although it is thought that it may be involved in changing the cellular response in relation to amino acid starvation. The record is from RNAcentral. Lineage: Bacteria; Pseudomonadati; Pseudomonadota; Candidatius Mariprofundia; Mariprofundales; Mariprofundaceae.